This 1014-nucleotide ribosomal RNA is filed under the name uncultured bacterium. RNAcentral's name for it is "bacterial SSU rRNA". It matches the Rfam family "Bacterial small subunit ribosomal RNA", at positions 344 to 1378 of the family's 1533-position model. The record is from RNAcentral.
GGAGGCAGCAGUGGGGAUAUGCGCAUGGCGAAAGCUGACGCAGCGACGCGCGUGGGGGAUGACGGCUUCGGGUUGUAAACCUCCUUCAGCAGGGACGAAGCGGAAGUGACGGUACCUGCAGAAGAAGCACCGGCCAACUACGUGCCAGCAGCCGCGGUAAUACGUAGGGUGCAAGCGUGUCCGGAAUUAUUGGGCGUAAAGAGCUCGUAGGCGGUCUGUCACGUCGGCUGUGAAAUCCCGAGACUCAACCUCGGGUCUGCAGUCGAUACGGGCAAACUAGAGUGUUGCAGGGGAGACUGGAAUUCCUGGUGUAGCGGUGAAAUGCGCAGAUAUCAGGAGGAACACCGGUGGCGAAGGCGGGUCUCUGGGCAACAACUGACGCUGAGGAGCGAAAGCGUGGGGAGCGAACAGGAUUAGAUACCCUGGUAGUCCACGCCGUAAACGUUGGGCGCUAGGUGUGGGGCUCAUUCCACGAGUUCCGUGCCGCAGCUAACGCAUUAAGCGCCCCGCCUGGGGAGUACGGCCGCAAGGCUAAAACUCAAAGGAAUUGACGGGGGCCCGCACAAGCGGCGGAGCAUGUUGCUUAAUUCGAUGCAACGCGAAGAACCUUACCUAGGCUUGACAUGCACGGAAAUCCUCCAGAGAUGGUGGGUCCGUAAGGGUCGUGCACAGGUGGUGCAUGGUUGUCGUCAGCUCGUGUCGUGAGAUGUUGGGUUAAGUCCCGCAACGAGCGCAACCCUCGUCCUAUGUUGCCAGCACGUGAUGGUGGGGACUCAUAGGAGACUGCCGGGGUCAACUCGGAGGAAGGUGGGGAUGACGUCAAAUCAUCAUGCCCCUUAUGUCUAGGGCUGCAAACAUGCUACAAUGGCCGGUACAAAGGGCUGCGAUACCGUGAGGUGGAGCGAAUCCCAAAAAGCCGGUCUCAGUUCGGAUUGGGGUCUGCAACUCGACCCCAUGAAGUUGGAGUCGCUAGUAAUCGCAGAUCAGCAAUGCCGCGGUGAAUACGUUCCCGGG